RNAcentral lists this ribosomal RNA (505 nucleotides) under uncultured bacterium. RNAcentral describes it as "partial 16S ribosomal RNA". It matches the Rfam family "Bacterial small subunit ribosomal RNA", at positions 28 to 507 of the family's 1533-position model. The record is from RNAcentral.
GACGAACGCUGGCGGCGUGCCUAAUACAUGCAAGUAGAACGCACAGUUUAUACCGUAGCUUGCUACACCAUAGACUGUGAGUUGCGAACGGGUGAGUAACGCGUAGGUAACCUGCCUGGUAGCGGGGGAUAACUAUUGGAAACGAUAGCUAAUACCGCAUAAUAUUAAUUAUUGCAUGAUAAUUAAUUGAAAGGUGCAAUUGCACCACUACCAGAUGGACCUGCGUUGUAUUAGCUAGUAGGUGAGGUAACGGCUCACCUAGGCGACGAUACAUAGCCGACCUGAGAGGGUGAUCGGCCACACUGGGACUGAGACACGGCCCAGACUCCUACGGGAGGCAGCAGUAGGGAAUCUUCGGCAAUGGACGAAAGUCUGACCGAGCAACGCCGCGUGAGUGAAGAAGGGUGUCGGAUCGUAAAGCUCUGUUGUAAGAGAAGAAAGGGUGUGAGAGUGGAAAGUUCACACUGUGACGGUAUCUUACCAGAAAGGGACGGCUAACUACGUG